RNAcentral lists this ribosomal RNA (468 nucleotides) under uncultured bacterium. RNAcentral describes it as "partial 16S ribosomal RNA". It matches the Rfam family "Bacterial small subunit ribosomal RNA", at positions 28 to 507 of the family's 1533-position model. The record is from RNAcentral.
GACGAACGCUGGCGGCGUGCUUAACACAUGCAAGUCGAACGGAAAGGCCCUGCUUUUGUGGGGUGCUCGAGUGGCGAACGGGUGAGUAACACGUGAGUAACCUGCCCUUGACUCUGGGAUAACUUCAGGAAACUGGGGCUAAUACCGGAUAGGAGCUCCUGCUGCAUGGUGGGGGUUGGAAAGUUUCGGCGGUUGGGGCUGGACUCGCGGCUUAUCAGCGUUUUGGUGGGGUUGUGGCUUACCUAGGCUUCGACGGGUAGCCGGCCUGAGAGGGUGACCGGCAAGAUUGGGACUGAGAUACGGGCCAGAAGCCUGCGGGAGGGAACAGUGGGGGAUAUUGCGAAAUGGGCGGGAGGCUGGAGCAGCAACGCCGGGUGGGGGAUGAAGGCCUUCGGGUUGUAAACCGCUUUCGCCUGUGACGAAGCGUGAGUGACGGUAAUGGGUAAAGAAGCACCGGCUAACUACGUG